GAUGAACGCUGGCGGCGUGCCUAAUACAUGCAAGUCGAGCGAACAGACGAGGAGCUUGCUCCUCUGACGUUAGCGGCGGACGGGUGAGUAACACGUGGAUAACCUACCUAUAAGACUGGGAUAACUUCGGGAAACCGGAGCUAAUACCGGAUAAUAUAUUGAACCGCAUGGUUCAAUAGUGAAAGACGGUUUUGCUGUCACUUAUAGAUUGAUCCGCGCCGCAUUAGCUAGUUGGUAAGGUAACGGCUUACCAAGGCGACGAUGCGUAGCCGACCUGAGAGGGUGAUCGGCCACACUGGAACUGAGACACGGUCCAGACUCCUACGGGAGGCAGCAGUAGGGAAUAUUCCGAAAUGGGCGAAAGCAUGACGGAGCAACGCCGCGUGAGUGAUGAAGGUCUUCGGAUCGUAAAACUCUGUUAUUAGGGAAGAACAAAUGUGUAAGUAACUAUGCACGUCUUGACGGUACCUAAUCAGAAAGCCACGGCUAACUACGUG
RNAcentral lists this ribosomal RNA (497 nucleotides) under uncultured bacterium. RNAcentral describes it as "partial 16S ribosomal RNA". It matches the Rfam family "Bacterial small subunit ribosomal RNA", at positions 28 to 507 of the family's 1533-position model. The record is from RNAcentral.